This 164-nucleotide ribosomal RNA is filed under the name Chrysosplenium davidianum. Its description in RNAcentral is "5.8S ribosomal RNA". It matches the Rfam family "5.8S ribosomal RNA". Rfam says of the family: 5.8S ribosomal RNA (5.8S rRNA) is a component of the large subunit of the eukaryotic ribosome. It is transcribed by RNA polymerase I as part of the 45S precursor that also contains 18S and 28S rRNA. The record is from RNAcentral. RNAcentral also lists the same sequence under 2 other names. Lineage: Eukaryota; Viridiplantae; Streptophyta; Magnoliopsida; Saxifragales; Saxifragaceae.
UUAAUGACUCUCAGCAACGGAUAUCUCGGCUCUCGCAUCGAUGAAGAACGUAGCGAAAUGCGAUACUUGGUGUGAAUUGCAGAAUCCCGUGAACCAUCGAGUUUUUGAACGCAAGUUGCGCCCGAAGCCAUCUGGUUGAGGGCACGUCUGCCUGGGCGUCACGU